CGAAGAACCCCCUUUGGGCAACCAAAGGGGAAUUCUUAGUGGCGAACGGGUGAGUAACACGUGAGAAACCUGCCCCGGAGAUCGGAAUAGCCCAGGGAAACCUGGAUUAAUACCGAAUACCCUCGAACGGCCGCCCGGUCGACCGAGGAAAUGGUCAGCCGCUCCGGGAUGGUCUCGCGCCCUAUCAGCUUGUUGGUGAGGUAACGGCUCACCAGGCAACGACGGGUAGCUGGUCUGAGAGGACGAUCAGCCACACUGGGACUGAGACACGGCCCAGACUCCUACGGGAGGCAGCAGCAGGGAAUUUUGCACAAUGGGCGCAAGCCUGAUGCAGCGACGCCGCGUGGGGGAUGAAUGCCUUCGGGUUGUAAACCCCUUUCAGGAGGGACGAAGCGAAAGUGACGGUACCUCCACAAGAAGCCCCGGCCAACUACGUGCCAGCAGCCGCGGUAAUACGUAGGGGGCAAGCGUUGUCCGGAUUUAUUGGGCGUAAAGAGCUCGUAGGCGGCUCAGCAAGUCGGCCGUGAAAGCCUGAGGCUCAACCUCAGGACGCCGGUCGAAACUGCUGUGGCUAGGGUCCGGUAGAGGAGAGUGGAAUUCCCGGUGUAGCGGUGAAAUGCGCAGAUAUCGGGAGGAACACCAGUAGCGAAGGCGGCUCUCUGGGCCGGCACCGACGCUGAGGAGCGAAAGCUAGGGGAGCAAACAGGAUUAGAUACCCUGGUAGUCCUAGCUGUAAACGUUGGGCACUAGGUGUGGCGGAUUCAUUGACAUCUGCCGCGCCGUAGCUAACGCAUUAAGUGCCCCGCCUGGGGAGUACGGUCGCAAGGCUAAAACUCAAAGGAAUUGACGGGAGCCCGCACAAGCGGCGGAGCAUGCGGCUUAAUUCGAUGGUACCCGAAGAACCUUACCUGGACUUGACAUAAUGGGAAAAACCCUAGAGAUAGGUGUGCGUAAGCGUCCAUUACAGUGGUGCAUGGCUGUCGUCAGCUCGUGUCGUGAGAUGUUGGGUCAGU
Molecule: ribosomal RNA, 1013 nt
Filed under: uncultured bacterium
Lineage: Bacteria
Description: bacterial SSU rRNA
Rfam family: Bacterial small subunit ribosomal RNA
Source: RNAcentral